AGGGUUCGAUUCUGGCUCAGGAUGAACGCUGGCGGCGUGCCUAAUACAUGCAAGGUGAAACGGGUAUCUUCGGAUACCAGUCGCGGACGGGUGAGUAAUACGAUAGGCAACCUGCCUUUAUGAGGGGGAGUAACCGAGGGAAACUUUGGCUAAUACCGCAUGAAGACUCUAAGGCAUCUUAGAGGGAUAAAAGUUGGGAAACAACGCAUGAAGAUGGGCUUAUGGCGCAUUAGCUAGUUGGUGAGAUAGAAGCCCACCAAGGUAAUGAUGCGUAGCCGACCUGAGAGGGUGAACGGCCACAUUGGGACUGAGACACGGCCCAAACUCCUACGGGAGGCAGCAGUAGGGAAUUUUCGGCAAUGGGGGGAACCCUGACCGAGCAACGCCGCCGUGAAGGAAGAAGGUUUUCGGAUUGUAAACUUCUGUUAUAAGGGAAGGACGGAUUGGAUAGGGAAUGAUCUGAUAGUGACGGUACCUUAUUAGAAAGCCACGGCUAACUACGUGCCAGCCGCAGC
This 515-nucleotide ribosomal RNA is filed under the name uncultured bacterium. Its description in RNAcentral is "bacterial SSU rRNA". It matches the Rfam family "Bacterial small subunit ribosomal RNA", at positions 8 to 518 of the family's 1533-position model. The record is from RNAcentral.